Long non-coding RNA from Trichoplusia ni (cabbage looper), 1200 nucleotides. RefSeq lists it as uncharacterized. The record is from RefSeq and is a predicted model, not a curated record. The transcript has 2 exons. Lineage: Eukaryota; Metazoa; Arthropoda; Insecta; Lepidoptera; Noctuidae.
UAAUUAAAUAAUUAACAAUAUUGUGAUUAGAUAUUAAAAUUAUUAUUUGGUAAUAAAGACUUUGUAAUAAUAAGUAGGUAACUAUGAUAUUCGGGAGAGCUCGUUAUGUAGUUAUAAGAAUUAAAUAAUAAAAUCGAAUGUGUAGGUUUAGGUACUGUAUCAGUUUUAGGCUGCCUCAUAUCCGUCGUUGAUUCCAAAUUCCAGAAUAAGGAAACCUAACGCUUUAAUUAAUUUAACAAUGAAUGAUUAAUGAGCUAAGCUAUGUAGGUCACCUAGUGUUAGAUACGGAACUCAAGCAGUUGCUAUGUGAAUUGUAUAGGUGUCUCAAUUUUCGGAAAACAGAAAGAGUCUGAGUGCGAGAAAGUGAGAUGAAUUGCUCAAAUAUUUUGGACUAAAAUAAGAAAGAAUAAUUCAUUAUUUUGAAAGUUACCAUUUUCAUUACAUUUAUUGACAGGUCUCCAAGCUAAGCUUGUAUCUUGGGGGCGAAGUGGCUCGAAAUAAAUGCAUGUAUCUUAAUUAACCACGGCAGUGUGUCAGAAUAAUUAUGCAAGAGUUAGUUUGCUUAAAAAUUACAAAAGAGUCCAAUAACUCAAAAACGAUUAAGACUUGCAGAACAUCUGGCGGUGAUUCGGGCACUUUUCAGUUACUUCUAUCAUGGGCAACCUCUCAUAUGCACCGACACCCUGUAUAUUCAAUAGCUCCCUUUUUAACCUAUCCUAAACCCAGUAGGUAUCUGAGUAAAACCAAGGCUAUCGAGUAAACAUAUUGGUUAUCCUUAUGCUCUGACGAAUGCUACAUACGAGUUAAACGAGUUCAGGAAUUAUUUGAUCUCAUAUUACAUUUGACAGACAACGAGUCAGUACGUUUUGAACAUGAAGCUCCUGUGUUUGUUGGUUCUCGUAGCUGUCAUAGUGGCGAUGUGUUCAGCAGCCAGCGUAUCGUUGGAAGAUGGGGAGGAUCCACAGACGAGAGAAGGAAAAUACUUAAUACACGCACCUUGCGCUCUAGGACAAAUGAGAAUAAGAGGAAGAUGUCUGCCUUGCGAUCUAGACGAGGAAGAGUGUGUCCUGUAGUGUAUCCUGUCCGAGUCAUAACUAAGAAAUAGAGGAGAGUUACUGUUACCUACAUGAUGUCGUUCCAUAACAUUACUUCGAAGCUUUGUAAUGGUUAAUAAAGUUUACACUUUUAUAAACUCUUUUA